GUUCUCAUAGUUUAAUUAUCAAAACAUGGCCCUGAAGUUGCCACAAUGGAGAGACCACUCUCCCGAAAACA
RNAcentral lists this transfer RNA (71 nucleotides) under Cnemaspis limi. RNAcentral's name for it is "tRNA-Phe". The record is from RNAcentral. Lineage: Eukaryota; Metazoa; Chordata; Lepidosauria; Squamata; Gekkonidae.